AACGAACGCUGGCGGCAUGCCUAAUACAUGCAAGUCGAGCGCUGCCUUCUGGUACAGUUACCCACGGGUUCGUCACCCGUCGGAACCUUCCCUUAUGUUCGGAAUAACUCUCCGCAAGGGGCGCUAAUACCGAAUAAUGUCUACGGCCCAAAGAUUUAUCAGCUUUGGAUGUGCGCGUGUUAGAUUAGCAAGUUGGUAGGUUAAAAGCCUACCAAGGCGAAGUUGCAUAGCUGGUCUGAGAGGAUGAUCAGCCACACUGGGACUGAGACACGGCGCAGACUCCUAGGGGAGGCAGCAGUGGGGAAUAUUGGACGAUGGGCGAGAGCCUGAUCCAGCAAUGCCGUGUGAGUGAUGAGGGACAGAGGAUUGUAAGGGUGUUUUGCAAGGGAUGAUAGUGACGGUAACGGGAGAAAAAGCGCCGGCUAACUCCGUG
This 433-nucleotide ribosomal RNA is filed under the name uncultured bacterium. RNAcentral's name for it is "partial 16S ribosomal RNA". It matches the Rfam family "Bacterial small subunit ribosomal RNA", at positions 29 to 507 of the family's 1533-position model. The record is from RNAcentral.